RNAcentral lists this transfer RNA (82 nucleotides) under Actinomycetota bacterium. Its description in RNAcentral is "Actinobacteria bacterium (freshwater metagenome) tRNA-Leu". It matches the Rfam family "tRNA". From Rfam's summary of the family: Transfer RNA (tRNA) molecules are approximately 80 nucleotides in length. The record is from RNAcentral. Lineage: Bacteria; Bacillati; Actinomycetota.
GCGGAAGUGGCGAAACUGGCAUACGCGCCAGGUUUAGGUCCUGGUGCCUUCGGGCGUGCGGGUUCGAGUCCCGCCUUCCGCA